RNAcentral lists this long non-coding RNA (647 nucleotides) under Lathyrus oleraceus (garden pea). Its description in RNAcentral is "Pisum sativum (pea) long non-coding RNA (PSAT_LNC039443)". Lineage: Eukaryota; Viridiplantae; Streptophyta; Magnoliopsida; Fabales; Fabaceae. The record is from RNAcentral.
UAUUUUCAUCAUUCACAGAAUUCAAACAAAUUCCAUGGAUUUAAAAAGAACAUUUUCAUCAUUCCCACAUAUCAAUCAAAUUUCAUGCGUUUAACAUCAACAUUUUCAUCAUUCAUACAAUUCAAUCAAAUUUCAUAUGUUUAACAACAACAUUUUCAUUAUUCCAACAAUUCAAUCAAAUUUCAUGGGUUUAACAACAACAUUUUCAUUAUUCACACAACUCAAUCAAAUUUCAUGGGUUUAAUAACAAUAUUUUCAUCAUUCACAGAAUUCAAUCAAAUUCCAUGGAUUUAAAAGGAACAUUUUCAUCAUUCCCACAAUUCAAUCAAAUUUCAUGGGUUUAACAUCAACAUUUUCAUCAUUCACACAAUUCAAUCAAAUUUCAUAUGUUUAACAACAACAUUUUCAUUAUUCCAACAAUUCAAUCAAAUUUCAUGGGUUUAACAACAACAUUUUCAUUAUUCACACAACUCAAUCAAAUUUCAUGGGUUUAAUAGAAUAUUUUCAUCAUUCCCAUAAUUCAAUCAAAUUUCAUGGGUUUAACAACUACAUUUUCAUUAUUCAGUCUAUUCAAUCAAAUUUCUUGGGUUUAAUAAUAACAACAUUUUCAUUAUUCACACAAUUCAAUCAAAUUUCUUGGGUUUAAC